UCAGAAGUUGAAUCACCAAUUGGCUUUUUCUGUGGUUCCUGAGAUAAUGUUUCUUUAUCAGACAACUCCAAAUUUCCCUUGUCCUCUCUGAGAAGCAGCUUGUCUGUGAGGAGAUUAACCUCAGCUUUUAGUUUAUCUUUCUCCUUGAGAAGGGUAUCAUAGUCAGCCUUCAGGCCGUUAUAGCUAGUCUGCAAUGCUUCAUAAUCCUUCUCCAGCUGUUUUGUCUUCCAUCUUGCUCGGCGGUUUUGAAACCAUAUGGCAACCUGCCUAGGCUGGAGACCAAGGUCCUUUGCAAGCUGGAUUUUCCUUUCAGGUUCGAGCUUGUUCUCAACCUCAAAACUUUUUUCAAGAAAAUGUACUUGAUCAACAGAAAGUCUCCUCUUCUUCUCACGUUGAUGAAAAUACUCAUCCAAUUCCUCAUCACCAUUCUCUUCGUGAUCAAAUGAGCGGAAAAAAGGCCGGGUUGAUCCAUUUACUUGAUGAACAUCCUCAAAGCUCACCAUGGAUCUUGAGCCU
Molecule: unclassified non-coding RNA, 516 nt
Filed under: Hevea brasiliensis (rubber tree)
Lineage: Eukaryota; Viridiplantae; Streptophyta; Magnoliopsida; Malpighiales; Euphorbiaceae
Source: RNAcentral